RNAcentral lists this ribosomal RNA (1197 nucleotides) under Triticum aestivum (bread wheat). RNAcentral describes it as "partial small subunit ribosomal RNA". The record is from RNAcentral. Lineage: Eukaryota; Viridiplantae; Streptophyta; Magnoliopsida; Poales; Poaceae.
AUGGAGGGGAAGCUGUCAGAGGCGUCGAAGCGGGCCGUCCCGUCGCCCAUCCAGCAGCUCUCCCACCUCGCGCAGCGCGUCGGCGCCGUCAACCUCGCCGAGGGAUUCCCCGACUUCCCCGCGCCCGCCCACGUCAAGGCCGCCGCCGCCGCUGCCAUCGCCGCCGACCUCAACCAGUACAGGCAUGUGCAGGGGAUCUGCGACGUGCUCGCGGCGACGAUGAAACGGGACCACGGCCUCGACGUCGACCCCCUCACGGACUUCGCCAUCUGCUGCGGGCAGUCCGAGGCCUUCGCCGCGGCAAUAUUUGCAGUUAUAGACCCAGGGGAUGAGGUUCUGCUCUUCGACCCGGCUUACGAAACGUAUCAAACAUGCAUUGAGCUGGCCCGGGGCGUCCCCGUGUAUGUGCCAUUGGAUCCACCUUCUUGGACACUGCACGCGGAUAAAUUUUUGAAGUCGUUUACUAGGCGGACAAAGGCAGUGAUCUUAAAUAGCCCACAUAAUCCCACAGGGAAGGUCUUUAGCAGGGCGGAAUUGCUUAUCAUUUCUCAAGCAUGUCAGCAAAUGGACUGCUUUGCAAUAACUGACGAGGUUUAUGAGUAUAUUACUUAUGAUGAGAACAAGCAUAUCUCUCUGGCUUCUCUUCCAGGAAUGCAAGAGAGGACAAUCAUAACAUCCUCGCUGUCAAAAACAUACAGUGUAACUGGUUGGAGAAUUGGUUGGGCUUGUGCUGCAGCAAACAUAGCUGCGGCAAUAAGAAAUAUCCAUGUCAAACUGACAGAUUCAGCUCCUGCACCAUUCCAAGAAGCUGCAUUGGUUGCGCUAACCAGCACACCGGACUACUAUGAGUCCCUGAAAAAAGACUAUGCAGAGAGAAGAGACUUCAUUCUUCAGUUACUGAAAAAUUAUGGUUUCCACAUUAGCUUCAAGCCACAAGGUUCAGUCUUUGUGUUUGCUGAGUUGCCCAAGUCUUGGCAAAUUUCCGACAUAGAUUUUGUGACGAACUUGAUUAACAAUGCUGGUGUGGCGGCAGUACCUGGUCGUGGCUUCUUCCACACAGAUGCCGACGACCAAACUUACCAUCACCGUUAUGUGAGGUUUGCUUUUUGCAAGAGCGAUGAGACCCUCAAGGCUGCUGCCCAGAAGAUGAUGAAGCCGGUUAAAAGCAACAGAAAGAAUGAACAUGUUACCAAGUAA